This 532-nucleotide ribosomal RNA is filed under the name uncultured bacterium. RNAcentral's name for it is "bacterial SSU rRNA". It matches the Rfam family "Bacterial small subunit ribosomal RNA", at positions 35 to 578 of the family's 1533-position model. The record is from RNAcentral.
GCUGGCGGCGUGCUUACACAUGCAAGNNNNNAACGAGAACGGCCCUAGCUUGCUAGGGUGUCAGCUAAGUGGCGCACGGGUGAGUAAUGUAUAGUUAAUCUGCCCCUUGGAGAGGGAUAACGUUUGGAAACGGACGCUAAUACCUCAUACUCCUGAUACUGUAGUGGUAUCAGGGAAACGUCUUUUCGCCAAGGGAUGAGACUAUAUGGCAUCAGGUAGUUGGUGGGGUAAUGGCCCACCAAGCCAAUGACGCCUAGCUGGUCUGAGAGGAUGAUCAGCCACACUGGUACUGAGACACGGACCAGACUCCUACGGGAGGCAGCAGUGGGGAAUAUUGCACAAUGGAGGAAACUCUGAUGCAGCAACGCCGCGUGGAGGAUGACGCAUUUCGGUGUGUAAACUCCUUUUAUAUAGGAAGAUAAUGACGGUACUAUAUGAAUAAGCACCGGCUAACUCCGUGCCAGCAGCCGCGGUAAUACGGAAGGGUGCAAGCGNUACUCGGAAUCACUGGGCGUAAAGCGCGCGCAGGCGG